GACGAACGCUGGCGGCGUGCUUAACACAUGCAAGUCGAACGGAAAGGCCCUGCUUUUGUUGGGUGCUCGAGUGGCGAACGGGUAAGUAACACGUGAGUAACCUGCCCUUUACUUUGGGAUAACUUCAGGAAACUGGGGCUAAUACCGGAUAGGAGCUCCUGCUGCAUGGUGGGGGUUGGAAAGUUUCGGCGGUUGGGGAUGGACUCGCGGCUUAUCAGCUUGUUGGUGGGGUAGUGGCUUACCAAGGCUUUGACGGGUAGCCGGCCUGAGAGGGUGACCGGCCACAUUGGGACUGAAAGACGGCCCAGACUACUACGGGAGGGAGCAGUGGGGGAUAUUGCACAAUGGGCGGAAGCCUGAUGCAGCAACGCCGCGUGCGGGAUGACGGCCUUCGGGUUGUAAACAUCUUUCGCCUGUGACGAAGCGUGGGUGACGGUAAUGGGUAAAGAAGCACCGGCUGACUACGUG
Molecule: ribosomal RNA, 468 nt
Filed under: uncultured bacterium
Lineage: Bacteria
Description: partial 16S ribosomal RNA
Rfam family: Bacterial small subunit ribosomal RNA
Source: RNAcentral